CCUACGGGGGGCAGCAGCCGCGGUAAUACGGAGGAUCCGAGCGUUAUCCGGAUUUAUUGGGUUUAAAGGGAGCGUAGAUGGGUUGUUAAGUCAGUUGUGAAAGUUUGCGGCUCAACCGUAAAAUUGCAAUUGAUACUGGCGUCCUUGAGUACAGUUGAGGUGGGCGGAAUUCGUGGUGUAGCGGUGAAAUGCUUAGAUAUCACGAAGAACUCCUAUUGCGAAGGCAGCUCACUAAACUGCAACUGACAUUGAGGCUCGAAAGUGUGGGUAUCAAACAGGAUUAGAAACCCUGGUAGUCCCCAGAU
This 305-nucleotide ribosomal RNA is filed under the name uncultured bacterium. RNAcentral describes it as "bacterial SSU rRNA". It matches the Rfam family "Bacterial small subunit ribosomal RNA", at positions 500 to 802 of the family's 1533-position model. The record is from RNAcentral.